UACGAAGGGUGCAAGCGUUACUCGGAAUUACUGGGCGUAAAGCGUGCGUAGGUGGUUUGUUAAGUCUGUUGUGAAAGCCCCGGGCUCAACCUGGGAAUGGCAAUGGAUACUGGCAGGCUAGAGUGCGGUAGAGGGUAGUGGAAUUCCCGGUGUAGCGGUGAAAUGCGUAGAGAUCGGGAGGAACACCAGUGGCGAAGGCGGCUACCUGGACCAGCACUGACAUGGAGGCACGAAAGCGUGGGGAGCAAA
Molecule: ribosomal RNA, 249 nt
Filed under: uncultured bacterium
Lineage: Bacteria
Description: partial 16S ribosomal RNA
Rfam family: Bacterial small subunit ribosomal RNA
Source: RNAcentral